This is a long non-coding RNA of Mytilus californianus (California mussel), 1080 nucleotides long. RefSeq lists it as uncharacterized. Lineage: Eukaryota; Metazoa; Mollusca; Bivalvia; Mytilida; Mytilidae. The record is from RefSeq and is a predicted model, not a curated record. The transcript has 2 exons.
AAUGUAUGAACGCUCAAUAUAUAUAAAUCACAGUACAAUCUCUUUUCUGACAAUUAUACGGUAAAGAUAUUCUGAUCUGAUUGACCACACCAUACGCCAUUCACAUACCACUACAUUCGAACUUCGCAAUAUGGCAUCAGGCGACGUCGAUUUAAUGGAGGCUCCCGUAAAACACCUUACAUCUAUCAAAAAAGAAAGAGCAAGAUUUUAUGGCGCAGUAUUCCUACCUGAUGGGAAACUUCUUGUUUCUGAUAAGGCAAAUUGUCGUUUGCUUCUUUUUGAAGAUGACUUCUUUUACAUCCAAGAAUUCAAACUCCCUGAUGCGCCAUAUGACAUCGCAAUAGGAUCAAAUCAAAAGCUAUAUGUCCUGAUGUUCAAAAACAAACUUUUAAAAUGUGAAAUUGAUGGUGAUGACUUUAACAUUCUAGAAACAUAUGAUGUCGCUAGUGGAACCGUUUCAAUCGAAACCUACAAUGACCAGCUGGUCACGUGCUGCACCGAAGCCGUAAAGAUAUUGGACCUAGAUGGAAAAGAAAUUCAAUCAUUCAAGAAAUCUAAUUGUAAAACGGAGUUGUUGGUGUCAACCAAGCUGAAGAGGUUUUACCUUAUAACUGACCAUGGCGAAGUCAGUGGACGGAAACUCUCCGAUGGAAACGAAGUGUUUAAUUUCUCAAAUGCCGCUUUGACCAGCAUAUCCUCUAUUGCUCUCGAUCGCAACGACAACGUAUAUGCAACAAGUUACGACUCAAGAAAGCUUUUUCAAAUUUCGAAAAAUCGUCGAAAACAUAGAGUUCUCCUGGAAAAAUUUGAGAAAGUCAAUAAGCCGGACACAAUAGUGUUCCAUCCUUCGAAGGAUAUGUUCAUAAUUUUUGCUUCAGAAGACUUUGAUGUCUAUCAGUUUUGAAUGUUUUUCCAAUGUCUUUACUCAUAUGAUUGCAAUGCAAUGAUUUAUAUAUUCUCUUACUGAGAGUUAAAAUGGUUUUAAACAAGUAUAUUACCUAUCGAAAUGUAUAUAAAUAUAGAUAUUGGCAGCAGCUGUUUAAAUAAACACGUGUAACACAUUUUUGUGUGCUAAAUGCG